Molecule: long non-coding RNA, 221 nt
Filed under: Elaeis guineensis (African oil palm)
Lineage: Eukaryota; Viridiplantae; Streptophyta; Magnoliopsida; Arecales; Arecaceae
Description: long non-coding RNA (EGUI_LNC031954)
Source: RNAcentral
UAAUGAUGGAUAUUUGUUAUCUAUUUAUAGUUUUAUGAUAUGGUACUUUGAAUAUAUUGUUGAGAUUAAAAUUGUUAUUGUAGCAUAUGUUUUUUGAAUGCACCAGGCUUGGAUCGGUCCACUCACACAGACGGUCGCUCUGACACCUGAGUAGUGUGCAGGAUGAGACAGCUUACACCUGGACUUAUGUUGUCGGUAUAGGUGCCUUGAUACAUGAGGGG